Molecule: non-coding RNA, 555 nt
Organism: Camellia sinensis
Lineage: Eukaryota; Viridiplantae; Streptophyta; Magnoliopsida; Ericales; Theaceae
Source: RefSeq, a predicted model, not a curated record
CCAGUUGCAACGAGUGCAUAUGUGUAUACAUUGAUCUUUAUACAAUCUUGAAGAAGUAUUCAUCAACUGUUGCCACAAUAUUCACUGGCAUAACAUCUGCUGCAUUAUUUGGCCACUCUGACUAUAAACUUUAUGUUAGGAAUUACAGUUGUUUUCAUCUCAAUGCACCAGGUACUACAAGAAAGAGAAAUAUAUUUUAAUGAUUACCAUGUUAUUUUCAGGCUUACCUUGUGUUUCAUUUUCCCCCCCUUUGUAGUUCUUUUCUCCUCUUUCAAAGGUCAAAGAUGAACAGCAAAAUGGUGUGGUGGAACUAAAGGAUGUUCAGGAUAACCACAGAAUAUUCUUUAAUAUGUAAAAUUUAUGAGUACAAAAGCCAUAUAUAAGCUUCAUGGACAACAUAACAAUGGGAUUUGGAAUUGGCCUAUCUGGUCGUGGUCGCUACUAGCUUAUCACUGAGAGGUCUGCUUGCUAUGCCAGAAAAUGGGAUUGGCUUGUUUCCAGAUGUGGGCUUUUGCAUAUAUAGCAGCACGAACUCUAGGAAGAGGAUCAGUUGGU